Molecule: non-coding RNA, 1235 nt
Organism: Oryza sativa Japonica Group (Japanese rice)
Lineage: Eukaryota; Viridiplantae; Streptophyta; Magnoliopsida; Poales; Poaceae
Source: RefSeq, a predicted model, not a curated record
UCUCGUGUUUAAAUCACAUUAACAGAGAGAUAUCCUCGAUAUACGAACUACACACAUACAACGUAAUCUAGUGAUUCUUGAUGAAUUGAAGAAAAUUAUUACCUACUUACGGCACCAAUCUACUAAACAUGGCACCGUACAAUUUGAGCUUAUAGGUAUCAAGACAGCUCGAAUCCAUCAGAGAAGCGGCCUUGGGACCCCACACCACAUAAGCAGUAGCGUCCUAAGAGCAUCACCAACAGUCUACCUAUCUAAUUCUCAAAACUGAUUUUGAGGGAUUUUAGUCCAAAAAACAGCUCCGACAGAUCCCCAACUCUCCUACCCGAUUUUUGGAGUUACCUUCUCCCGAUUCCUCGCUCCGUUUAUAUGUAGGUGUGAAAUUCGCUCCCAAUCUCGCACUCCCGCCUCUCUCCUCCCAUUCCCGCACGUGGGAGAUAGCGAUCUUUCUGCGCGUGAAAUAAAAAAACAGAAUUUUCUGUUGGUAGUUUAACAGAAGGGUCCACUUUUAAGUUUUGGGGAUUGAAUUUAGGCUAUUUGUUGGAGGGAGGAGUUUUUUCACUUCCUAUUUUCAAUUUAGGAAACCAAAAACAAUUUCAUCCAGUCGUCCUUCUAUUGUUUUAAGCUGAGCACUAAUCCGAGUGGAGAAAUAUGUCGGCACUCGGCAUCGCGAUGAAAUUGAACUGAACACUACAGCACUAAUGCUCUCGGUAACUUUACGAUUUCCUGGAGCUGCUUCUUCUUUUCCCAGUGCCUCUCAUUCUUAUGGAAGCCCUCCUUCUGAUUCAAUUGUGGGCCAAGUGUGUAUAUAGGGAGGAGGCAUGGGGUGUUUGCUUGAGCUAUUUAUUCUGCACUACUUUACUAGUUGUGCGAAGCAAUUUACGUGGCGAUGUGCGAGUCAAGAAUAAGCAACACUUGAUUACAGUGUGUUGUGUUUCACUUCCACGGUUCCACCUAUCAGUUCCUCUCUUUUGCAUGUUUAUACUAGCAUUAUGCCAAAUAAAUGACAGAAUGUGAGGCCUAGACGACGGGAGUGGGAAAUGGUACUGAUGAGACGCAUCGCUGAAGAGGAUCUUGUGCUUUAGAAGAUGAUCCAUUGCAUUCAUAGUGAAUGCAAUUGGGUUGUUUGAAUGAAUGGGCAUGCAGGAACUGAAUUCAUGUCAAGUGGCGAAAUUUCAUGUAUUAGAUGAAUCAUGCAGUGAUAACUGUGGCUCAAAGAAACAGCCCUUCAUUGGAAA